GAAACCAACAGGGAUUGCCUUAGUAACGGCGAGUGAAGCGGCAACAGCUCAAAUUUGAAAUCUGGCCCUCGGGUCCGAAUUGUAAUUUGUAGAGGAUGAUUUUGGUGCGGUAUCUUCCGAGUUCCUUGGAACAGGACGCCUUAGAGGGUGAGAGCCCCGUACGGUUGAAUGCCUAGCCUCUGUAAAUCUCCUUCGACGAGUCGAGUAGUUUGGGAAUGCUGCUCUAAAUGGGAGGUAAAUUUCUUCUAAAGCUAAAUAUUGGCCAGAGACCGAUAGCGCACAAGUAGAGUGAUCGAAAGAUGAAAAGCACUUUGAAAAGAGGGUUAAAUAGCACGUGAAAUUGUUGAAAGGGAAGGAUUUGUGACCAGACUUUUUCUGGGCGGAUCAUCCGGGGUUCUCUCCGGUGCACUUUGCCCAGUAAAGGCCAGCAUCGAUUUUCGGCGGCGGAUAAAAGCAGUGGGAAUGUGGCUCCCUACGGGGAGUGUUAUAGCCCAUUGUAUAAUACGCUGCUGGGGAUCGAGGUACGCGCUUCUGCAAGGAUGCUGGCGUAAUGGUUAUCAAUCACCCGUCUUGAAACACGGACCAAGGAGUCGAACAUUUAUGCGAGUGUUUGGGUGUUAAACCCUCACGCGUAAUGAAAGUGAACGGAGGUGAGAGCCCGUACGGGUGCAUCAUCGACCGAUCCUGAAGUUUUCGGAUGGAUUUGAGUAAGAGCAUAACUGUUCGGACCCGAAAGAUGGUGAACUAUGCGUGGAUAGGGUGAAGCCAGAGGAAACUCUGGUGGAGGCUCGCAGCGGUUCUGACGUGCAAAUCGAUCGUCAAAUCUGCGCAUGGGGGCGAAAGACUAAUCGAACCAUCUAGUAGCUGGUUACCG
RNAcentral lists this ribosomal RNA (874 nucleotides) under Pestalotia sp. ICMP 3062. RNAcentral's name for it is "LSU rRNA". It matches the Rfam family "Eukaryotic large subunit ribosomal RNA", at positions 61 to 960 of the family's 3401-position model. The record is from RNAcentral. RNAcentral also lists the same sequence under 4 other names. Lineage: Eukaryota; Fungi; Ascomycota; Sordariomycetes; Amphisphaeriales; Amphisphaeriaceae.